AACGAACGCUGGCGGCAGGCUUAACACAUGCAAGUCGAACGCAUCCUUCGGGGUGAGUGGCAGACGGGUGAGUAACGCGUGGGAAUCUACCCUGAUCUGCGGGAUAGCUCCGGGAAACUGGAAUUAAUACCGCAUAUGUCCUGAGGGACAAAGAUUCAUCGGUUCAGGAUGAGCCCGCGUCCGAUUAGCUAGUUGGUGGGGUAAAGGCCUACCAAGGCGACGAUCGGUAGCUGGUCUAAGAGGAUGAUCAGCCACAUUGGGACUGAGACACGGCCCAAACUCCUACGGGAGGCAGCAGUGGGGAAUAUUGGACAAUGGGCGCAAGCCUGAUCCAGCCAUGCCGCGUGAGUGAUGAAGGUCUUAGGAUUGUAAAGCUCUUUCACCGGGGACGAUAAUGACGGUACCCGGAGAAGAAGCCCCGGCUAACUUCGUGCCAGCCGCCGCCGUAA
RNAcentral lists this ribosomal RNA (449 nucleotides) under uncultured bacterium. RNAcentral describes it as "partial 16S ribosomal RNA". It matches the Rfam family "Bacterial small subunit ribosomal RNA", at positions 29 to 523 of the family's 1533-position model. The record is from RNAcentral.